GAUGCUGAAAUUAUAGGUGUGCACUGCCAUGCCUAGCACUUCUUUGAGACAGGAGCUUGCAAUAUAGUUUAGGCCAGCCCUGAACUUGGUAUGUAGUCCAGAAUGGUCUUGAACUCACGGUUUUCCUGCCUCAGUCUUGAGCGCUCGGAUUACAGGUGUGCACCACCAAGCCCAGCUUUAGAGGGAUUUGUACUGUUUCCUCUGCUAGAAAUAUAAGGGUGGGAGCCUAGAAAUCCAUGCAGUGCCAUUCCAGGAGUCAGCCCAAAGCAGCACCCUCAAGCAGACAGCUCACUUCCAGCCUCAGGGCUGCGUGUUGGACUUUGAACAGCAGCAGAGGGACACAGCUGGGCUUCCUGGUCCCUCAAGGAGUCAGCCGCACUGGCUGCUAUGUGUGAAGACUUAAGCAUUUUCAGGGAAGAGAGGCAAGCAGGAGAAAGUGGAGCCCAGCCCCUGGAACCCACUUCCUGACAGCCCAGUUCUACUGGCGGCCGAGUGUAUGGGAUGCAGGGUCAUCUGAGGGCCUCUGCUUACUGACCUCCCCAAGGGCCCACCGGCCACCCCCGCUGGACCCUGCACCCCACCUUGGUACCCAGAGCUCGGCGGGAGGAGUGCGCAGCCAGUGAGGGCUGGAGCCGGCAUUCGGCGCAGACCCAUGGUGCAGAGGCUCCCACGCAGGCCCACGUGUUCUCCUCCCUGCCAGCCCCAGACCUGCUCAGACAAGGAACUGGGACCGGAGCCACGCUCCUCACCAGGCCCCACAGCCGGUGCGGGCCGCAGCCGGGUCCAGAGCCUCCACUGUGGCAAACAGCACCCAACAUCACAGUCUGUGCCACAGUGGCUUCUGCCCCCCGGAGACCAGCAGACCUCCUGGGAGCCCUCGCUCCCUGUUCCCUGCGGCCCAGACUCCAGCCCUCCAAGGCUGGCCUGAGAGGGCACCCGAGAUCCAGCUCCAAAGGCUUCUGUCCGGCCGACCUGAAAAGGCUCUGUGCGUGUCCGCUCCUGCUCACAGCCAGUGUGCAGUGACACAGCAGCCUUCACCCAAACGACGCACGCUCGGGCGGAGAGGGCGGCCUGGGGCGCCAGAGCAGUGGGCCUGCUGGGAGCUCUGCACUGGCUCCUCCCGUGACCUUGGCCAGGGUGAGCUGCCACCGUGCUUCACACUCCCUCCUGCCUGUCCCCCACUACAGCUUGUCCUACAGCUGGGUCACAGGGGCCCUCUGCAUGCUAAGAUUCGCUCUUUCAAAUUCAGAUGCCCCGAAUGACAACCUCUCAAAUCCGCCUUGGCAGGAAAUGAGGGUCACCCACUGAUCCCACUCAAAAGGCCGGAUUCCGGUUUGGGCUGUGAAUCUCCGGACAAUUCCCCAAGUGUCCAUCAAAAUACCGGGUGAGAAGCUCUCGUUAUUUGUCAUUCGAGUGGCAGGCAGGCGCCACCCAGGAUGUCUGGGCUGCCCAGCCCCGGAGGGGCAGGACCAAGCUCCUCACGCGCUGGGGCAUGAUGAUGGGGCUGCAGCCAGCGGGGUGCAGCGCAGGCAGAGCACCUGCCCGGCGAGGGGGCGUGGGCAGCGCGGGACAGCAAGACCUCAAGGUGAAGGGGCCAGUUACGCUCUGCUCAGCAACUUCUCCCUUGUGAGGCUCUACCCAGAGCUGAUUGUUCUUUCACAAAAGCAGUCCCUUCCUCUGGCUGCCCAAAGCUGACUUGGGAACUGUUUACCCCUGGCUUUCCCUUGGCACGUCUUCCCAAGACCUGUGAACAAGAUAAACAUUAUGGCCAAGAGGGCCACAGUUUGUGAGAACUGGAAGGAAAUGCAGAGGUCAUUUCAUUCACCUCUUCCUUUUCGAAAAAGGGACAGCAAAGAACCCACGGCCACAGAGCUGGCCUGCAGCUGGCCAGCAUGGGAACCUUGGACUUGUGACCAACUCUUUCCUCCACCAAGGCUGCUGUUCCUCAGGGCAACGCUGAGCCCCACUUCUCAGCCAGGCACUACUGAAGGGCUCAGAGGCGGCGCAGGGUCCCUUGGGGCCCACACAAAGGCAGAACACAGGAAGUAACGGCAGCCUGCACUCACUGAGAGCUCCCUCUGCGCCAGGCCCUGCGGGUACCACACUGCGCCCUCACCGGAGGCCUGACGGAGGUGCUCACAGAGGAGGGGAGGUGACGAGUCUAAGGUCAAAGAACCUUACAGUCUAAGGUCAAAGUUACUUUUUUUUAACUUUUACUUUUUAGGUGCUGGGAAUGCAGGGCCUCACACAUGCUAGGCAAACCCUUUGCC
Molecule: long non-coding RNA, 2270 nt
Organism: Chinchilla lanigera (long-tailed chinchilla)
Lineage: Eukaryota; Metazoa; Chordata; Mammalia; Rodentia; Chinchillidae
Exons: 3
Source: RefSeq, a predicted model, not a curated record